This 468-nucleotide ribosomal RNA is filed under the name uncultured bacterium. Its description in RNAcentral is "partial 16S ribosomal RNA". It matches the Rfam family "Bacterial small subunit ribosomal RNA", at positions 28 to 507 of the family's 1533-position model. The record is from RNAcentral.
GACGAACGCUGGCGGCGUGCUUAACACAUGCAAGUCGAACGGAAAGGCCCUGCUUUUGUGGGGUGCUCGAGUGGCGAACGGGUGAGUAACACGUGAGUAACCUGCCCUUGACUUUGGGAUAACUUCAGGAAACUGGGGCUAAUACCGGAUAGGAUCUCCUGCUGCAUGGUGGGGGUUGGAAAGUUUCGGCGGUUGGGGAUGGACUCGCGGCUUAUCAGCUUGUUGGUGGGGUAGUGGAUUACCAAGGCUUUGACGGGUAGCCGGCCUGGGAGGGUGACCGGCCACAUUGGGACUGAGAUACGGCCCAGACUGCUACGGGAGGCAGCAGUGGGGAAUAUUGCAAAAUGGGCGGAAGCCUGAUGCAGCAACGCCGCGUGCGGGAUGACGGCCUUCGGGUUGUAAACCGCUUUCGACUGUGACGAAGCGUGAGUGACGGUAAUGGGUAAAGAAGCACCGGCUAACUACGUG